Phalacrocorax carbo (great cormorant) is the source of this 5848-nucleotide non-coding RNA. The record is from RefSeq and is a predicted model, not a curated record. Lineage: Eukaryota; Metazoa; Chordata; Aves; Suliformes; Phalacrocoracidae.
ACAGCACUCACUUGACCGUGUUGUCUUGAGAAAAUAAAAAACACUUCGUGCCUAGGAUACUCAACUUUACAAUCUCUCACAAGCUGUGUGAAGAGUAUUUCUAAAGGGAGAACAUUGAAGAGGUUCCUCCUGCAAUCCAUUACUCACACUACCUGAUGGACACAAUCCUCUUCACCUCCUACCCUUUUCAUGAGAAUGUCAACAAAAAGAAAAUUAGCAUAUUAGAAUACAGGUGUAUCUUGAAGGCACGUUGAAGAGCAGGACAAAGAAUUGAAGACUUUAGUCCUCUGAUGGAUCAAACACUUCUUAAAAUUAGAACAAACAUAUCCCCAAAUGCAGUUCCUAAUGCAUUGUGUGAAGAAAUCCUCAGUUCUAGUCCUCAUUCCAUAUGCUAUAUGAUCCUGUGACAGCAUUUGUCAUUUUCUGUAGGCUUCUGUCAUCUAUUCAGUACAACUAGACACGCCAUUGUAAGAAUCAGAUAAAUGUUAAGCUUGUCUUCAACCCCAUGGUUCAAAACAAAGUACACAAUUCAGUCAAGGGAAACUACUGUUGUUCACCCUCACUGGAUUUGACUAACGGAAAUGGUCUAUAAUUCCACAAAAAAGGCUUUCCCUGAGAAGAUACUCAGUAUUUUGGUUUCCAUCCCUAUUCUCAGCAUCCAAUUGAAUUUUUGGGGUUUUUUACCUCUGUCUCUUUGGAGUCACAAGUAGACCAGAAGGUGUCAAGAACUCAGACACAUUUUUGUUGUCAGCAUCUGCUGUACCUGAAGACCGGGAGUCUGGAAGCUGCAAUGCCUCUCUCAUUCGGAUGUACCCAUCAGCUACCUUGAGUCUGACAGUGCGGGCCUUCUAAAAUUGAGGAAAUGUUUUUGGAUUGACUGAAGCAUAUUUGAAUAUGGAGGCAAAAUUCACUGAAUGCUACUACAAAACCCCAAAGGAGGACAAGAAGAAUUUGAACCAAGAGUUCCAGAUUAAUGUCCAAGAACUUUGAAAUCAACUUCUAGUUUGGCACCUGUAAUAAAGUAAAGCCUUAAACCAAAUGAGUUCAGAAAAUACAUUAAAUGCAAUUUAUUUUCCUGUCUAACGAUUAGAAAAAUGACAAACCUAGUCAAAUCAAAAUGGCAAUUUGGUAUUGUCCACAAUACCCCUAUAGAGGAAACUGAAGGUGUAACUUUGUUCUGUGUCACAAAUUCUCAGCUGCAAUCCUUUUCCCUUCAUGCUCAUUCUGUGCUCUGUAAUGAGUCACUUACCUUUACAUAAUUUAAAUAUUUCAGGCAUCCUACUAUGAUUAUUUUUAAAGCGAUUGCUGAAAUAGAAACGAAUGUCUCCCAGCAAUGUGUAUUCCUCUCAGGCUCUUAUAAUGAGGAUGAUCGCUUAAUUAGCAUGUUUGUUUCCACUAGGGUAUACCAAUUAAGAGAUAUAACCACACUGCUGUACAUUCCUAUUAAUGCUUUUCUACAUUUAAAGUAAGAUCACACAUUUCAGCAGGUGUACCUUUUAAUGUUAACAGAAGAUUUUCCAAAGGAUUGAGCUAUUUUGCCAUCUGUUUCUUAUGCUGGUAUGCUUAAAUUACUAGAAACUAGACAUUAGGUGGGUUUUUUUAGAGCUGCCAGAAUAUUAACUUUAUUUCAUAGUUUUCACAAAUGCAUUCAAGCUCAUAUUUUAAUAAAUAUACAGCGGACAUGAGUAAUGAUAUCACAGAAACUCUACUUCCACAGAUGUGUCAUCCCAAGUAAUUUUGCUUUUGUGUGCAUAUUGUGCUUGGUAGUUAUGGUAGCAACAUUUUUCUGAAGAAUUCCUAUAUUGAGUCCUUUGUUUCUCCUUACUCUGGAUAUAAACCUCAGCGCUUCUUUUGCCUGUUCUAUUUUUAAUGCUAUAAAAUAUGUUUGCUUCUGCUCAUUAUGACUUUGCUAAAAAAAAAAACAAGUAAUGCAAAGCUGACGUUUGUUUCCAACUAUUUUUGAAUCAGGAGCAGAGUAAUCUAAAAUUCUUAUGCUGUCGUCAUUACUACUAAAACUCAUCUUGUCACAUUCUUAUAUCUCAAUUUAAAAUCUGUUUUGUACUUCAGCCUUGUUUCUUUCCUAAAAGGACAAAAAAAUUUCAAAAAAUUAGGUUUUUUACUCACUAAAGUGUUCUAAUACAUAAAGUUUUCACAAAAGUGUUAAUUAUUGAUGUCUAAUUACUCUGAAAUUUGCAUGCACAAAAGUAGCUGGAUUUUAUUUGAAAAUUCCUUUUAAAUAUGUGUACACGUUCUCCCAGUGUAGAUCUAUAAAGAAUCUGCUUGAUUUUCAACUAGACUUCUACUAGUUGAUCUGUGCUACACCUGAUUAAUUAAUUUAGAAUUAUUAAGCCUACAGAAAGCACUAUUAAAAACUCAAUAUUGCAAGUCUCAAGCACAAUUUUUGCAAUAUCUAGAUGUCUCAUGUGUCCCCCAAUUCAGGUCUCAGCCUUAAACAAUCAUAGUAUGUUUUAUAGUCUUAUUUUUAGCAAUCGCAGUGUUGCAAUUGCUAGAAGGCUUUUCAAACCUUCUCUUCAACAAUGACAGUUUAGUUAGUGGACAGUUCUGUCAGUCUUCUUUUUUUAUAGAGGAUAUCAUGCUGAUUCAAAAGUAGUGGCAAUUUUCACAAAUUCACAACUCCAUGAGUUGAUGUUUCAAGAAGAAACAUGAAACAGAGAAUUGUGUAGCAGAACUGAAUCUUGUCUAUAGCUCCAAUGCUUAGAAAUGCAAUUGCAUAGUAUCAUUAUCUGUGUGGAACAGAAAAUAAAGAGUUUUAAAUAAAAUUCUGCAAAUGUGCUAACACCAGAACAGCAAAUAAGGACUCGUGAAUAAUUUUUUCUUAUGCACAGUAACUUUAGAAUAAAAAAGACUUAUAAAAAUGGGAUUGUAUCCGAACAUUCCCUUUCCCAAUAGCUUUUAAUGCAUUACAGUCCUUUUAUGAAGUACAUAUAUGUACUGAUGGCUAUAUAAUUACAUUUCUUUAAAGCCUAUCACUGUAAAACUCUGUUUUCACUUACUCUUUUGCCAAACUGUAAGCAUUAAUUUUGGACUAUGAGAAGUUUUCCAUGACAGUUGGCUUACAUUGAUUUCUUCCUGGAAAAGAAAAAAUUCUCAGAACAAAAUGGAACAAGCAAAAUAAAACAAUUUAAAAAAAUUCACUAAAACAUCCUAGAACAGUUCUAGACGCAAAGACUCUGUUUCUGGGGAUACUAACACCAAGGUGUACCGCUGAGGAUCUUAGAAAAUGUUUGACCCCUCCCCAAAAACGGGGGGAUUUUUCCUCUAAAAUAUCCACUUGAGAAUACUCACUAGGGCCUUGACAAACAUAUAUAGGCUUAUUCCAUAAGGUUUCCAUUUUCAGCUCAGUCUCAUGACUGCAACACCUGGAUAAGACUUUACCUACAGAUGUAUCUCAGACAAUCAAUCUUCUGUCUACCUCCCAGUCCCUAACUCCAUACAUAAAAGAUUUUAGGACUCAUUGAAGGAAUUUGUAUAUAUCAAAUAUGUUUCACCGUUUGCACAUUUAGUCUAAACAGGCUGGUGAUUUCAUGGUAAUAUUGACCUGAAUUGUUAUUCAUUUCCAAAUUAAGACUCCUCAGUGUAGGUAAGUAUCCAUACCAUGUGCAGUAAGUGAUUGACAUUCAGUUAAUGGAAUUAAUGGAGAUCUAGGGCUCAGCUCAGUUGCUUAAACAUCAUCUAGUGUCAAUAGAGGGAGUCCAGGAUAUCCCAACAAGCAUCUGAAUCCUACAACCACAGAUCUAUGAAACUCUCUUCAAUCCUAUGUUGUCUCUGUCAUUCCCUUAUCAAAUACUGUAGGGCAUUUCAGAUGGCAGUUAAAUGGUGCCUCUGGCCUUUACGUGUGUCAGAGCACGAAAAAUGACUCACUUCAUCCUAAAUUAGAGACCAAGCAUCAGCUAGUUUAAGCUCAGGCAUACCCUCAUUCUUGGUUUCUACUUCUCCAGGAUACACCAUCAUGCAAAUAAUUCUAUUUUAAACAACAGGCAUAGAAUCCUUUAUGUCUCAUUCAGCUGCUGUUCAUUGUGUCAAACAUAGGCCAAAAAAUGUAGGAUAACAGACACUAAAUGGGAAAGAGACAGCUUACAUUUUCUAGGAAGAAAGGAUUCAACAGCAUGCAAAGAAAAAGGCAGAAACCACUCUCCUUGCAGAUAAAAAAUCAUUGCGGGUUUACAAGCGAAAAUAGUUUAUUCUGUAAAAAUUUGAGGGGUAGUUUUCAAAAGCAAUUCAUAAUGAAAAUGAGACAGGAAGAUGCUCUUUUUGUACCACUAAAAUUCUGAUGAUUUCAAGGUCCAUUCUGUUCUGAAGCUCUCAGAAUUCAUACAUGUCACUGGCUUCAGAAAAAAAAAAAAAAAAAACACAAAAACAAAAACGAAACCCGAACCACAUAGAAAAGGCACACUGAAGCACAGAAUAGCCACCAGUAUUCAUUAAUAUGUAGGAAACAAACACAAGUGCCUUCUUUUAAUGAAUUAGAUGAGGAUCUGAGAUCUGCAGCUUCAGUUUCUCACAAGCCUGACUCCUCUCAUCACAAAAUUUUUUGAGAUGAGAGACUCACUCACUCUGAGCAGAAAUUACAUAUGGAACGUGAGAUAACUUUUCCAGCUAAAGACUGAAACUGGAAGACUUUGGUAAGAAGAUUCAGUGUAGACAAAUUUUGUUAGAAAAUUCUCCCACCUUAUUUAUCCAACACUGGUCUAUAUUUGCUCUCAUUAAAAGCACUGUUCUCUUCACUGUUGUCACCAAUUUGUGAGGAGUCAGUGUUUAAAGGUAAACUAAGACCAGAAAAUAUAAAAGAACGUAAGUUUUCCAGAACAGAACUUCUCCAAAACUGAGAAAGAUUUAUGUAUUUCUACUAGUAAACGCUUGAAUAAGGAUUAUGUCUCUGACUGACAACAAAUGCUAUGCUAGGGUAUGUGAUGAUGUUGUUUUGAAGUGUUGCUUCUAGUGACUGUUGAUCUGCAUGAAGUCACAGUCAAUGUUUCAGUAUGGAUCUGUAACCUGAGAUUAAAUAUUCACAGGAUAUGAGGAUGACCUUUCUGUGUAAUUGCCACUUCUAAGAAUGGAAAAGACCAUCACAGUGUGUCUCAAACCCUGAUCACAUUGUCUAAGCAAUGCAAUAAUAAAUAAGAGUUUUUCCUGAGGAUGUGUAGAGCUGUUGAUCUAAAAUAGCAACAAUAUCAAAAUAAACACCCAAGUCUAUGACCAAGGUUUUGAAAUAUGCAAAUGUCUGUUUAAUUAUGAGGAGUGUUCAGGACUUAUUUCACAUCACCUUGUACUGACUUUGCCUUGGGGUACCUUUCAUUUAAGGCAGAGUCAGGUUAGGAUUAGAAUUCAGAGAGAGACAAAAACCACAGGUGCAGCUGGAGUGAGGCUGGAAAAAGGGCUACAAAAAGAAAGUGUAAGGCGUCGAGAACUUUGCUGUGAGACACUUUGUCUGGGGACUUUGCCUAAAGCUCAGUCUAUGUUUAGGUUUAAGGUUUACAUUAAGGACAGGGUUAGGUUUAGGACUAGGUCUGAUGGAGAAAGCCAGGAAGUACAGCUAGGGGGAGCUCGAAAAGGAGAAUUUCCCCCAGCACUUUUAAAACAAUUCAUAGUGCAGUAGAAGUACAGUUUUGUCUUACUGUUUUAACAUAAAUUAAUAAAAAGUUGAUAUUUUUACCCUCUUGCUGUCCCAAAACAUCGAUCAAGUAUUCAUCUUCUUGCUUAAUUCUGUUCAGGAUUCACAUGCUGAUGUUUUUCCAUGUGUUUAAAACUGCUUGUUGGUUUUAAAAGUUUCUCACCAUUAACUCCAACAUGUACAUCUGAGUUACAGCAGUUUACCUUAAACAUUAGU